RNAcentral lists this long non-coding RNA (917 nucleotides) under Carica papaya (papaya). Its description in RNAcentral is "long non-coding RNA (CPAP_LNC014744)". Lineage: Eukaryota; Viridiplantae; Streptophyta; Magnoliopsida; Brassicales; Caricaceae. The record is from RNAcentral.
AUUUAUUAUGGAUUCUUGGUGGUUUCUCUUGAUAUGGAUGGAUAUAUUCAGAAUGGUUAUAUGUAUGAUCAUACAUAUGUGUGCGUGUAGGAUUGUGACUGUGUGAGUUGAUAUAAAUAUGUGAAGUGUAAAGUGUGUAUCUGGGCCGCCUGCUUGGGUGGAGGGAUGAAAACCCGAAUGGUUGUGUGUGUUGGCCCAUCUGCUUGGGUCAGGGGGUGAAAACUUGAAUGGUUGUGUGUGUUGGCCUGCCUGCUUGGGUCGAGGGGUGAAAACCCGAAUGGUUAUGUGUGUAUUGUGCAUAUGUUUGUUGCCAGUAGAAUAUGCCAUAAGGGAUUGGUGUGGUUGUGGCCUUUAUAUUGUUGGUUAUAUACUUGUUGAAUAAUUCUUAACUUCACCAUAAGGAGGAGGGUGAGCAAGGAUUACCUGGGCAUGUUAUGGAGCAUUUUUGGGUAAGGGAUUGAGGAGUAGGUGUUAAUGAGUAUUGACAGAAGCUAUGAAAUUAGAAAUUAAAGGUUGAUGAUCAGAAUGAAGCGUGAAUGAGACCCAAAAGAGAUUGAAAUGGUAAAUGAGAUGAAUUUAGGAAAUGUGAAGAAUGGGCAGACAGUGUAGGAUGUUGGAAUGUAAGGCGAGAGAGAGUUUGGUAUAAUAAUUUCAAUUCGCUUGUUUUGAUUUACAAAUUCUACUUAUUGGGCAUAUGUAGCUCAUUAUUUUAUUAUCAUAGGAUAGGUAAAGCGGGAGCAAGAUCAAGAAGUAUUGGAGACAAACCACACUACUUGAAGUGUGUAAUGACAUUUUUUUAGCUAUAGUGGACUUUGAUUUCGUGAGGAAUAUACCAAAAUAAUACUUAUAUAACCGAAACAAAAAUUGGUUUCUUUUUCUUAUUGGAAGAACUUACCAUUAGAAUUAUGCAGGACAAU